GACGUAGGGCGCGAGCGUUGUCCGGAUUUAUUGGGCGUAAAGAGCUCGUAGGCGGCUUGUUGCGUCGGCUGUGAAAACCCGCAGCUUAACUGUGGGCUUGCGGUCGAUACGGGCAUCACUGGAGUUCGGCAGGGGAGACUGGAAUUCCUGGUGUAGCGGUGAAAUGCGCAGAUAUCAGGAGGAACACCGGUGGCGAAGGCGGGUCUCUGGGCCGAUACUGACGCUGAGGAGCGAAAGCGUGGGGAGCGAACAGG
RNAcentral lists this ribosomal RNA (254 nucleotides) under uncultured bacterium. RNAcentral's name for it is "partial 16S ribosomal RNA". It matches the Rfam family "Bacterial small subunit ribosomal RNA", at positions 524 to 776 of the family's 1533-position model. The record is from RNAcentral.